GCAUGAACUUAGCUUGCUAAGUUUGAUGGCGACCGGCGCACGGGUGAGUAACACGUAUCCAACCUGCCGAUGACUCGGGGAUAGCCUUUCGAAAGAAAGAUUAAUACCCGAUGGCAUAGUUCUUCCGCAUGGUAGAACUAUUAAAGAAUUUCGGUCAUCGAUGGGGAUGCGUUCCAUUAGGUUGUUGGCGGGGUAACGGCCCACCAAGCCUUCGAUGGAUAGGGGUUCUGAGAGGAAGGUCCCCCACAUUGGAACUGAGACACGGUCCAAACUCCUACGGGAGGCGGCAGUGAGGAAUAUUGGUCAAUGGACGAGAGUCUGAACCAGCCAAGUAGCGUGAAGGAUGACUGCCCUAUGGGUUGUAAACUUCUUUUAUACGGGAAUAAAGUGAGGCACGUGUGCCUUUUUGUAUGUACCGUAUGAAUAAGGAUCGGCUAACUCCGUGCCAGCAGCCGCGGUAAUACGGAGGAUCCGAGCGUUAUCCGGAUUUAUUGGGUUUAAAGGGAGCGUAGGCGGACGCUUAAGUCAGUUGUGAAAGUUUGCGGCUCAACCGUAAAAUUGCAGUUGAUACUGGGUGUCUUGAGUACAGUAGAGGCAGGCGGAAUUCGUGGUGUAGCGGUGAAAUGCUUAGAUAUCACGAAGAACUCCGAUUGCGAAGGCAGCCUGCUGGACUGUAACUGGCGCUGAUGCUCGAAAGUGU
This 700-nucleotide ribosomal RNA is filed under the name uncultured Bacteroidales bacterium. RNAcentral's name for it is "bacterial SSU rRNA". It matches the Rfam family "Bacterial small subunit ribosomal RNA", at positions 69 to 762 of the family's 1533-position model. Lineage: Bacteria; Pseudomonadati; Bacteroidota; Bacteroidia; Bacteroidales. The record is from RNAcentral.